Molecule: ribosomal RNA, 551 nt
Filed under: uncultured bacterium
Lineage: Bacteria
Description: bacterial SSU rRNA
Rfam family: Bacterial small subunit ribosomal RNA
Source: RNAcentral
UAAGGGAAUCUUCGGCAAUGGGGGCAACCCUGACCGAGCAACGCCGCGUGAGUGAAGAAGGUUUUCGGAUCGUAAAGCUCUGUUGUAAGAGAAGAACGAGUGUGAGAGUGGAAAGUUCACACUGUGACGGUAACUUACCAGAAAGGGACGGCUAACUACGUGCCAGCAGCCGCGGUAAUACGUAGGUCCCGAGCGUUAUCCGGAUUUAUUGGGCGUAAAGCGAGCGCAGGCGGUUAGAUAAGUCUGAAGUUAAAGGCUGUGGCUUAACCAUAGUACGCUUUGGAAACUGUUUAACUUGAGUGCAGAAGGGGAGAGUGGAAUUCCAUGUGUAGCGGUGAAAUGCGUAGAUAUAUGGAGGAACACCGGUGGCGAAAGCGGCUCUCUGGUCUGUAACUGACGCUGAGGCUCGAAAGCGUGGGGAGCAAACAGGAUUAGAUACCCUGGUAGUCCACGCCGUAAACGAUGAGUGCUAGGUGUUGGGUCCUUUCCGGGACUCAGUGCCGCAGCUAACGCAUUAAGCACUCCGCCUGGGGAGUACGACCGCAAGGUUG